Procambarus clarkii (red swamp crayfish) is the source of this 425-nucleotide non-coding RNA. The record is from RefSeq and is a predicted model, not a curated record. Lineage: Eukaryota; Metazoa; Arthropoda; Malacostraca; Decapoda; Cambaridae.
GGUUGUGUAGUAGAGACCAACUAGUAUCUUGCUAUAGUAAACUUAAUUAUCAUUUAAUACAAAAAACAUAUUUACUACAAAUUACAAGCAGAAACUGCAUAUAUAUAGCUAAAAGGAAGGAUUCACUAGCAGAAAAUGUUGUGUUUAUUAUGACAAUGGAUCCUCGGGUUGUGUAGUAGAGACCAACUAGUUUGUGUACUGUUUACGUAAAGCUACGGCUGGUCUGGAGGCGUCGUGGUGCGAGGAAGGAAAUACGUAGGAAGAUCGGCGAUCUUAAAAGCCUUCCUGAAUCUCGAUGGAUCCGAAACGACGAUGAUUGGCAGUGCAAUGGACCCUAACAACACAAUGGAUAGGAGGUUGUGAUGCUCAAUGCCAGCACUGAAGAAUCCAGUGGGAGUAAAGUCCAGUACCAAGGAGAAGCACCU